This 714-nucleotide long non-coding RNA is filed under the name Malus domestica (apple). RNAcentral's name for it is "long non-coding RNA (MDOM_LNC006572)". The record is from RNAcentral. Lineage: Eukaryota; Viridiplantae; Streptophyta; Magnoliopsida; Rosales; Rosaceae.
UUGCACAUUCCCAGCAGAACAUUUUCCACAAGCAGUUGCAGUUGUUGUUGCUCCUCUUCUUCUUCUUCGUCGGCGGCGAAAAUGCAUUCGAGUCACUUGCUUCUGGAAGAGCCGAUCAGGAUGGCUUCGAUCCUCGAGCCUUCCAAGCCUGUGAGUAAUUCCGAUCACUUUAACUCUUCCGUUUCUUUGAAUUAGUUGGAUAGUUAGUUAAUUUUCAGUUUCUGAUUGAGAAGAGAGAGAGAGAGAGCCAAUUAAUUGCUUUUGUUUCUUCAGCAAGUAACCAAGUUGCAGUGUGUUUGUUUCCCGAGAAAGUGAAGGAUUGGAUGGGAAAAAAAAACAACACCUGGAUUUCCUCCUUGUACUACCUAUUUGGCUGUUUCUUAAAAUUAAAUUGUAGCAAGUAUAAAUCAACUCUCUGUGUUUGUGGGUUUGGAUGGAGUCUGUAUUUCCUUCUUGCAUCUUAGUUCUUAUCAUGUGUUUGGUUUAUGAGAAAAUGUGAUAAUCAGGAGGGUGUCAUAUUUCUUAUUAGAGAAAUCUUUACUUAGCAAUCAAACAGAAUAUUAUUGUUUCCGAAAUAUUCUCGGAAUUUCGGUGGGUUAUUAGGUGAAUAUGUGGCCGUAGUGAUUUGAAAGAACUUGAAUGCGUGACUAACCUUGAUGAAUUCUGAACUUACAGACAUUCUUUCCGGCAAUGACAAGGAUUGUGGGAACGCUU